This 7401-nucleotide long non-coding RNA is filed under the name Ananas comosus (pineapple). RNAcentral describes it as "long non-coding RNA (ACOM_LNC012209)". The record is from RNAcentral. Lineage: Eukaryota; Viridiplantae; Streptophyta; Magnoliopsida; Poales; Bromeliaceae.
AAUUUUUGAUUUAAAUUACAAUUUUAAAUUUGAACUGAAAGUUUUAUUUUAAAUUUGUGCUUUAUAUUUAAAAGUUGAAUUUGAUUUAUAAUUAAGUUUUUUAUGUUGUUUGGUAUUUAAAUUUACAGUUUAGUUGUAAUUUGAUUUCCAACUAUUGUUGUAGGUAUUUGAGAAGGUUAUAGUAUUCUUAGUCGGAUAAAACAAGUUUUGUACACCAAAAUAUUUUUCUAAGACCAAAAUACCAUUUAAAUAGGUUUCUGGUGAAUAGUACCUAUGCCAGAAUAGUAGGUCGCCUUUAGAAUCAUAUUACAUCUCAACCAUCUAUUUAAAAAAAUAAAUGGUCAAGAUUUACAUGGUGUAUUGAAAUAUUACUCAUAUAUAUAUAUAUAGUGAGGCUACUAUGCUUCUGGAAGCACGGAGCCUUCCGUGCUUCCAGGUCGUUUUCGAUGUUACGACUUUCGAAUCGUCGAUCGGCUCCGUUAAACUUGAUCUAGAGUAUUUGAAGUACCUAGAAAAUAAAUUUUAUGAUUUUUCGAUAUCAUUUGCCUAGUCAUUGAAGGAGCUCAAAAUCAAUNCUGUGAGAAAUUGACAGAGAUAUAUGGAUCGCUGGGGUGUAUAUCGUUGUGAAAAAUUUUCACAGCCAUUAAAAUCGAUCGUCGUGAAAAAACUAUAUAUGGAUAUAAAUUUUCACAGCGAUAUCUGGCAAAAAUAACAUCACAUAUAUAUUUUAUAGCGAAAUGAAGACACAAUCUUCAACAACAGUUGGUAUCCCGAAAGCGAAAGACUCGUAAAUAUAGAGUAGAACGAUGGAACCUUGAGCCACAUCGACGAAAUCCUGUUUUUUUUUUUGACUUGGACGGGUCUCAGGUAUCUAGACAUUUGAUUUCGUCCAAGGAAAAAAAAAAAGUUAAUUAUACAAAAUAUAAAAAUAAAAAUAAUUACUUGCCAAUCAUUAAUAAUAAUAAAGAUAUUUUAAUAAUAAAAUAGGAAAGUUUUAUGAAAAAAUAGUAGAGGGUGAAAAGAGUAAACGAGGAUUUCAAAUCAAACUAUAACUGCACUUAGAGUGAUCUUACCUCAACUCUUUUUUAUAUAUCCCUAUAUAAAAACGCAAAAAGCUAAAUUGGCAUCUUUUAUAUAGUAUUGACUGAUUGGCGUUAUACGCCUUAUGUUAUAAUACAUACCUUUGUUUGUCUUAUAAAAACGUAGCAGCAAAGAGUGAUAUGCAUUGCGUUAGAAAGGCGUUAGGGUUUGCUUCGAAUUCAAUCCCUGUGUUUUUCAUGAAACUAAUAACCAGAAAAGUUUAUUUUGUAAGAUGGUAGUAGUUAUAAAAAAUAAACGGGAAUUCAAUUCCUAUUUUUUCCAUAAAAUUAAAAAAAAUUGAGACUCUCUAUAAAUUGAAUACAAAUUGGGUCUAAUUAAAUUACCCACCAUUGACAUCCUCAUAAAACCUUAUUAUCUUUUUAUAUAUUCUCCAUAUAAUUUUUCUUUUUUUUUUCAUCCUUAUUUACAUUAUAAAAGCUUCAAAAGUCUCUAUAUAUCUAUUAAUAAGAAAGAAUUUAAAACGAUUUUACGACCAACUGGAAAAGUUUUCUCUCCAAAGCUCCUUUGUCAAAAUCUGAAAAAAAAUUAUUGAGAGUUGAACCACAAUUAUUGAACAUCGAUAAUAAAGUCAGUAAUGUCAACCAAUACGUCACGGAAAGUAAACCAAUUUAUUUAAAAUAUGUAUGGCUAGCAAGGAUCUCGUUUAACGUUUACCGAACUAUCAACUAUAGGCUCUGAGUUCAAGCUUAAGAUCAACUAAGUGUAAAGAUCGAUUCAAAUAAAGAUUUACUUUAUUUGCUUUGUCUAUCAUAGAUAGAGAAUUUUUUUUUUUUUUUUUUUAUGUACGACCAUAUAUUCUUACACUAAUCAGUUCAGUUGGAAUUGUUUAAGAAAAGUUUAAAAAUCACUUUAUUAAUUCUUAAACAAAACAACCGGUUAAACACCUCUUUAUUAUUUGUAAAUUUGUUGUGCUUGCUCGAUGUUCCAUGUAUUUAAUCGAGAAGCCAUUGAUGUGGAAAGAGUUUGGAUACCAUGGAUAGUCUUAUCCUAUACUUUUCAUGAUAAAUACUCUAAAGUUAGUCUUCACAUACUAAACGUGGGAAAAUAAAUUCUUAAAUGUUUUAAGAAAUUUGAACAUUAUAAAUAUUUAAAAAAAAAAAACUGUUCUUUCUCUCUUUAAAACCAAAAACUUACUUUUCUUACAUUCUAAAUGUAGGGAUUGUAACGAAAAAAUAAAUAGUUUCUUUUCACGGAUAGAGAGUAUAUUGGGUAAAGAAAACAACUUGAGAGACAAUCUUUCUGAUCAAUUGGAAGAAAAAAAAAAAAAAAAUUAACCCGAUAUUUUCUCUUUACGCCAACCACGCCUAGUAUCGGGUAAAGAACUCCUGGGUGAUUGGUUAUUCUACCAAGAGGGACACUCUUAUGAGUUUUUGGGUUCGGUGUUUUUUAUAUAAACCCACAGACGCUUCCCGGAGGGAUAAUCUUUCGCAUGCUUAUUAGGUUCGGUGUCUUUAAUAAACCCGUAGAGGCUUCUUUUAGUAUAUAUAUAUAUAUAUAUCUCUCUCUCUCUCUCUCUCUCUCUCCGACGACAACUAAACCUAGUAUAAUAAGUUGGUUAGUGGAUGAGUUGGGAUCUCCUAGUGAUAGUAAGAUUGAUUCCUGGUGAUAGUAGGAUUGGGGUAUAAGUAAGUAGGUUGCCGGCUUUUGAAUAUUCAUGUUUCUCGAGAUAUGAGUAUUCUCAUAUCAUCGAGAUCGUAUGUAUAAUAUAUAAAUAAUAUAUACUAAAAUUUUGACAACAGGAUUUAAAUAGCCGCUUGACCGUAUACCGUCGAACAUACAGUUAGGUAGAAUUAUUAUGUUCAAUUAAUAUAGAACCCGAUUAAAUGAUAUAAGCAUGAAACAAUUAUUUAUUAACAAAAAAGAAAAAAAGGAAAGUAAGAUAAUAAUACAUAGAACAUAUCAUGCGUUAUCAAUAAUCCAAUUUAAGAAAAAGAAGGGGUUAAUGCAACAGUUCUAAGUCAAUAAUUUUAACAAAAUUACGGGUAAAUGAUUGAAAAUAAAGUUCGUAAAUUUUGUACCCGAACCCUGUUGCUUAGAGUAAUUCGUUCCUUUCCACAGGCAAAGAUAGGUAGAAAAGCGGUAUUUGCCAUUACUUACUACCUAUGUAGAAAAUAAAGUGACAUUUUUUAAAAUUUCCAAUUUUUAAUGUAAUUCACAAUAAAAUUUUUAAUGUAUAUCAAAAUCAUAAGUAAGAGAGGGAAUUAUUCCAUGAUUUUAAUGUAACAUUAGGAGACAAGGUAUCAAAUGUGUAAAUAAUAUUUAUUUAUUUAUUAUUAUUAUUCAUACAGUAUACAAAAUGACAUUUUGAGAUAUAUUCCUAAGAAGUUAGAGGAACAUAGAUAUGAUAAAUUUCUAGAAAAGUACUUUACGAAAGGUCGGUAUAUCGUAAUAAUACCUGUUAAUUAAGGGAUGGUUUAAAUCGUUUAAACUGCACCUCCAAGAAACUAGUUCUUAAUAAAAUUAGUCAAUGAAUUAACCAUAAGAUAGAGUAAGUUAAACGAACCAUUAGACUCUAUUCUGUGUUCACAUGGCUAAAAGAUAACGUAAUUAACGUUGAAAAAACACUAGGUAAAUAACAAUAAUAUUAUAAUAAUAAUAAGAGACAAUAAGGUAACAACUGAGAAAUUAAACUAAACAAUGAAUACAUAUAAAGAGAGAUAUAUAUAUUUGUACCUUUUAUUAUCAACUUAUAGAUAUAAAAAUCCAUGCAUGGUACAUUAAUGAUGAGGUAAAGUGGUUAAUAUAAUAAAAUGUAUAAACAUGAGAAAAUCCUUAUUUGAAUACACUUCACUGUAUAUAGAUUGCUGAAUAAUCUCAUACAUUAAUUUAAAACUAAAAUUUGGCUCGUUCUACAAUAGUUUACCACGUCAAAAGUAUAUUAAAACAUCGAAAUCGUAACAUUUUUUUUAGGUUUAUUUAACAAUUCCUAAAAAAAAAAAUUUUUUUUAAUUUAUCCAUUAUUAUACAAUUUUUUAUAUCAAAUUUUUCUAAAACUUUUAAUCGUAUUAUAGGGUAAUCUAAUUAGAAUAUCAUCUAAGAGUUGAGGUUCUAAGCAAAAAAAAAAAAGAGAGAAAAAUAAGUUCUUAAAAUAUUUUUAUUAUAAUUUUUGAUCCACAUCGACGAGACACGUAAAUGUGCCCAAUGAAUCAUCACACAGGUAUUUCAAGUGCGGUUGUUGGACUCAUCAAGAACCACCAAGAUAUAACCUAUAAUAUAUAUAUUUUGUCAGCUACGGAUGUAAUAAUUAACUCUUUAAUAACGCACGAGAACCAAGGGGUUGUAAUGAGCACAUGGUGGGCACCUGGUGAAGAAUCAUUGAAGUGUGAGGUUCAAAUUUUUCAAAAUUAAUAAAAAUUCGGCAUCAUUACUUCAUCUAAGAGAUGCCAUUUAUAAACCCCCCAGGUAUUGACUGCACCACCUGGGACAGGAAGGCAGCCACUCGGCACCUUUAUUCCUACUUUAUAAAGUUUGAAUUUUAAUAUUAAAUUUGAAAUUAAACUUAGGUAUUUAUAUUAAAUUCAAAAUUUACUUUAAACUUAUUUUGAAAUACAUUUAAUUUUAAAUUAAAUUUAAGUUUAAGUAUUCAAUCUAAGCUUUAUGAACUAAUUUAAAAUUAAAAAUUAAAUUCAAAUUUAAUUUUAAUUUUUAAUUUUUAAAUUAAAGAUUCAAAUUUGAGUAUAAAAUUAAUUUUUCAACUUUUUUUUUUUAAAUUAGGCUUAUUUAUAGGUAAGGCAUGCCAAAGUUGAAGGUAAGACCGGAGGAUCCGGCCUAACUUUUUUGUCCACUAAUCCUUUAAGAGUAAGGUGAGCCUUUAGCCUUAGCCUUACUCUGAGGGCACAUAGUUUGUGGGUGUUUGCCUAAACGGGUAAAGCUAGCUAAGGCUAAGGUACCACUUUUUUUCGCUUGGUUUGUAUGGCAUUCGAAUGCGUUAUACGUGCUUGUUAAUUACUCUAAUCAGUUUUAGUGCCUCUUACGUAACACAUUUUACUUAUGAAUGUUUUUUUAUAAAUUCCAACUACCCGGUGAUCAAUUGGUGUUCUUUGGAUUAGAACACCCGGUACCUCCUCGUGUAGUGUCGGUAUUUUUACACUCUUUAAUAAUGAACGUGGGUCACGUAAGUAUACAGAUCACGUGACGCGUAAUAAAUUUACAGGACCGUGUACGUUAUUUAAUAUAGGACUAAAUCUUUUUAUAUCUAUUUUUGUAUAACUUAAUAAGACUUAAUUCUUGAUAAAACUUAACCGAUAGAUUAGAAAGCUUUAAACUAACAUGAUAGGUUUAAGAAGUUAAAUAAACUGAAUUCAGUUGGUUGGCAUAAAUCAAAUUGUUUAAAUAUCAGCAUUUUUUAAUGUAUUCUAUAGCAUUGAUUCGGACACUUCUAUUUGUCGCAUUAUUUUUAAAAUUCAGUUUCAUAGUAACCGACUAAAUUUAGUAGUCUACUUAAUGGUUCAACCUAUCAUUUUAAUUUUAAAACUUUCUAACACAUCAAUUAAGUUUUACUAGGUAUCAAGUGUGCUUAAGUUAUGCAUAAAUCCUUCUUAUAUAUUAUUUUAUAAUGGUUACCACAUAUGCUCUAUACAUGUGCUCCACGUGCGUUAUUAAAGAGUUCUUUUCACCUAUAAAACAACGGACAUGUUUCCCUGUUCUCAUUAUUGAUCCAGGUUUUGGAUUAGGUGUUGAAAAUUAGUGUGUGUGUAGGGACAAAAAAAAAAAAAAAAAAAUAGAGUUAAAUAGUUGGAUUAGUUAAUGAUGAUGAUAAUUUCGUUAUUUUGGGGUGUUUUUACAAUUAGGUAACUGGUUAGUUUUCGGUUGUUUUUUCGUACAUUUUUCCUUUAAAAAAUUUGUUUUUUAUUUUCUUCUAGAAUUUUUAUUGUUAUUAUUGACUCUUUUCCAGCCAGGGAACGCACUCACAGUUUAGGGGAAUAUAAGAGAGAGAGAAAGAGAGAGAGAGAGAGAGAUAGAGUGAUAAAGAGAGAGAUUUUGGAACAAAGUGAGAGAGGCUCUAAAGAAGAAAAGAGAGAGAAGAGGGGAGAGAGAGAGAGAUAGAGAGAGAGAGAGAGAUCUCGAGAAGUGAACCACGCCUCUUCUUUACGAGGCUUUAAAGUUCCAUUAGGUUUGUUCGACACUUUUAAGAUCUAAUCAGGGAUUUCGGGGAAUUCAAAAAGAAAAUUAGAGAGAAAAAAAAAGAGUCUAAACAACAUCCAAUAGUUGCAAGUGCCUCAACCAAGACCAACAAAAGACGUUAACAGUGUUUAAAGCACGGUGCUAAUUUAAAAAUCAUAAGAGCAUAUAUGUCAUCAUCACAAAAAAGAAGAGGAGGAGAAAAACAAACUAAAAAAAAAAAAAUUUUUUUUUCAAAAACAUAGGAUUUUAAUUUGUUUAAGCUACGUUUAACGAAAGCAUGCCUUUUUUUCUCUCUUUUUGGGACAGGAGCUAAAGGGACGAGAGGCGGUCUUAGUUUUCAAGGAAAAAUGGCUAUAACCUAAAAGAGUGCUGAUAAUUUACCAAUACUUAUUUAAGCAUUUAAUAACCGCUGAAACUCUAUCUCGUUGGCUGCGGUGGCGGAGGAGGACGACAGGAAAGGCUCUUCGUCUAGAAUUUCAGUGGAUUGAGUGAAGAGAGAAGAAAAGAUGGUAAUUAAUUUAUCUUUUUUUUUCUUUUCUGUUUGUAAUCGGGUCAAAUGAACUGGGUGUGGUGGGUUGAGUAGAGUAAUCUUUUAUUUUUGGUUGGAUUGGACUUUAUAUUUAGGCAUAAGUAGAUGUUUUUUUAAAUUUUAGCAUAAAUGAGACACUUAUUCAAAAGUGUCCCAAACAUGUGUCCCUAUAACCUAAUUUUGUUGUAGUGAUAUAUAUAUAUAUAUAUAUAUAUAUAGAGUGAGACUACUAUGCUAAAAGAAGUACGGAGCCUUCCGUGCUUUCAACUCGUUUUCGAUGUUGCGACUUUCGAAUCGUCGAUCGGCUCCGUUAAACUUGAUCUAGAGUAUUUGAAGUACCUAGAAAAUAAAUUUUAUGAUUUUUCGAUAUCAUUUGCCUAGUCAUUGAAGGAGCUCAAAAUCAAUAAUUGUAAUGGCCGUUGUGAGCCGUUUGCAUGUUUAAUGGCGUAGAAAUAUCCAAAUCACGUGAAAUUUCGAUAGAAAUUCUUUAUACUAUAUAAUACUAUAUAAAACAAGAUCAAUAUCUUUGAUUUAAAAUUUUAAUGUCAUAUUAUUACAUUUUGUAAGAUUUUUAUUUUCAGCCGUUGAUUUUGAGCCCCUUCGUUCACUAGGCAAAUGAUAUCGUAAAAUCAUAAAAUUUAUUUUCU